This is a long non-coding RNA of Hypomesus transpacificus, 937 nucleotides long. RefSeq lists it as uncharacterized. The transcript has 3 exons. NCBI's taxonomy places the organism in Eukaryota, Metazoa, Chordata, Actinopteri, Osmeriformes, Osmeridae. The record is from RefSeq and is a predicted model, not a curated record.
UCCCACCGACUGGUCCUUGGCAUUUGUAGCUAAUUUGCUCUCGCGUUGUUGUUCCUGUGUGUGAAGCGCACACGAUGACCAGCACAGGGAUUUCACCUCGUCCUUGAGAGUGAGGGAGACACGAAUAACCCGAACACAUCGGCAGCUCGACCCAACUCUCACCUCUAGCCUACCUUUUCCUCUGAGAUAUCACGGACCAAGCCGUCCUUGCGACUCGCCCCAAGGCCCUGAUCCUGAAUCAACUUCCUCUUCAUCCUCACCUCAACCAUUAGGACGUUUAACACCAAACUGACCUCAGAGCAGCCUGUAGCCUCGUCCUAAUGGCAGUGUCUCUUUAGAAGCCAUCUGAAUGGCUUCUUCUGCUGGACGUGACCUCACAUCCUCCAUCAUGGUAGUGUCAGCGAGACUCACAGGGUCCUGCUCUCUGGCUGUCAGAAUGGCUGUGUUUCAGGCUUAGACUGGCACAGUCCUGGAAUCUCUGUCAGACUUGGGUGAUUCUAGAAUAUCUGUCAGACUGUCUGUUGUAGACCCUCUGUCAGACUGUCUGUGUUCUAUAGUGCUUGUGUUCUAUCUGGCUGUGUUGUAGUUUCUGAGUUCAACGUCAUUUACCCAAUGUACUAAGCUGUGUCAGUGUCCUUGUUCCAAGCCAGAUGCUUGGCCCAGUCAGGUCGGGUUCUGAGGAAGCGCUGGGAGGGGUGUGUGUGUGUUUGUGGGUGUGGACGUGUCUGUGUGUGUGCGUUUGUUUGCACAAACACACCAGGUGCUUUACCGUCCUUCCUCUGAGUGUGUUUGUGUUGUUUUUAUACUCUGUGAUUGAUGUAUUUCUGACAAUAGCUUCAGGGAGGGAAUUGUAGACCUACUGGUCAGCUCUCUGUAUUGGGCCUUAAUUGACGUUUUUUUGUGUGUGCUUAUGUGUUUAUGUUGUGUGUGAGUGUGU